AAUUAAUUAAUUAUUAAUAUUUUAUUUUUUAUUUUAAUAAAAAUAAUUUUAUUUAUUUUAUUUUAAGUAUUUAUUAAAGAAAAAAUUUUUUAAAUUAUAGUUUAUUAGUAUUGUAAAAGAAUUUUGUAAUAAAAUUUUAUUAAAUAAAAGUAUAAUUAUUUUUUUGUACCUUGUGUAUCAGGGUUUAUUAAAUAAUUAUUAUAAAUUUUAAUUUUCCCGAUUUUAAGAGAGAGAAUAAAUUAUGUUUUUUAUUGUAAAAAAAAUAUUUAUAAUAAUUUAUUAGUAAUGAAAAGUUAUUCGUUCUUAAAUAUAUCUGGUUUAUUUAGAAAUAAAUUUAAUUUAGUUUAUAAAAUUUUAUUAAUUUAUUUUUUUAAAUUAAUAGAUUUUUUAAAUAUUAAUUAAAGGGAUAAGCUUUUAAUUAAAUUUCUAAAAUUAUUUUAAGUUAAUAUAAAAAUAUAUAGGUUUAGAAAUAUUUUUUUUUAAUAAUUUGUUAUAAUUAAUUUUUAUUAAAAUAUUAUUUUAAAUAAAUUUAGUUUUUUAUAAAUAAAUUUCAUUAAAUAUUUAAAUGUAAGAUAUAAUGAUAAAAUUAGUAUUUAUUUAUAAAUGUUUAUAUAAUAUAUUUUAUAAGAUUAUUUAAAGGAAUUCGGCAAUUUUUUUAUUCGCCUGUUUAACAAAAACAUGUCCUUUAGGUUCAAUAAUUUAAGGUCUAACCUGCCCACUGAAAUAUUUUAAAUGGCCGCAGUAAAUUGACUGUGCAAAGGUAGCAUAAUCAUUAGUUUUUUAAUUAAAAGCUUGUAUGAAUGGUUUGACGAAAUAAAAUCUGUCUCUAAAUAAUAAUAAGAAUUUAAUUUUUAAGUUAAAAAGCUUAAAUAUAAUUAAAAGACGAGAAGACCCUAUAGAUCUUUAUAUUAAAUUUUAUAUUAUUAUUAAGGAUUUUUUAAUUUUAUUAUUAAAUUUAUUAUUUUAUUGGGGUAAUAGAAAGAUUAAAUAAAUUCUUUUUAAAUUUGUACAUAGAUAAUUGUUUUAAUGAUCCUUUAUUAAAGAUAAUAAGAUUAAGUUACCUUAGGGAUAACAGCGUAAUUUUUUUGGAGAGUUCAUAUCGAUAAAAAAGUUUGCGACCUCGAUGUUGGAUUAAAAAUUAUUCCAGGUGUAGAAGUUUGGAAAUUUUGGUCUGUUCGACCAUUAAAUUUUUACAUGAUCUGAGUUCAGACCGGUGUAAGCCAGGUCGGUUUCUAUCUUUAUUUAAUUAUUAUAUUUUAGUACGAAAGGACCAAAUAUAAAAUAUAUUUAUAUUUAAAUUUUGAAUAUUAUU
RNAcentral lists this ribosomal RNA (1312 nucleotides) under Scarodytes savinensis. Its description in RNAcentral is "16S ribosomal RNA". The stretch from base 1068 to 1227 matches the Rfam family "Archaeal large subunit ribosomal RNA", at positions 2542 to 2701 of the family's 2987-position model. The record is from RNAcentral. Lineage: Eukaryota; Metazoa; Arthropoda; Insecta; Coleoptera; Dytiscidae.